RNAcentral lists this long non-coding RNA (1101 nucleotides) under Gossypium barbadense (sea-island cotton). RNAcentral describes it as "long non-coding RNA (GBAR_LNC002856)". The record is from RNAcentral. Lineage: Eukaryota; Viridiplantae; Streptophyta; Magnoliopsida; Malvales; Malvaceae.
AGGCAUUGUUUUAACAGUAUUCGAUUUGUCAGGGACUUAGUCAUAUAAAGGGUUCCAGUUUCUUCCAUAGCAUGGACGUCAUUUUCUCCAUCAACACUUCUUGUAGGACAUUAUUUGUAAGGCACAAUUGAAUUGCAGAUAGAGCCUUUUCAUCAAGCUUCUCCCAUUUCGUUUGAUUCCUGUAAGAGCCUUAUUUUGCCCGGCCCAUUAGAAACUAAAAAAUAACCAAAUAAAGUCUCAAGAUCAUUAAAUGUCCAGUUACAAAAUUAAAUUGGCUCAUAUUUACAAAACCCAAUUACAAACCCAUCAACUUAAACCACUAACCUAUUACAGAUUAGGCCCGUUAGCCGAAGACCUAAACUCAUGUUUAGGAAAAUGAAAACCCUAGGUCACCCUCACGCCGUACCCCCCUCCAUGUGUGCCCUCGGUAUGCACGAUGCCCAAGGGCCGACUUUGCCUUCGGCCUUACACCAAAAUGGCAUCCUUUCACCGUCGUUGACCCCCUAGGCCUACAAAAGAAAGCAAAAACAGAAGCCAAACAAGACCACAGAGCAGAAAGUAGAAACAAAGCAAAGAAACAACAAUGACAUAGGAAAUAGUAAUAACGUUAAAUCAAGUGUAUUUUCGCCUAUAUAAACCGAGAAACAAAAAUGUUGUGAGGUUAUAGACGAUUAAGCAAUAAAAGAGAAAAACAAAAAGGUUGAUUACACAUCUUGUUCUCUUUUUGAUUUUCAAAUUUUCUUUUUACUUUUAUUUUUUUUAUUUUUUUAUUUUUAUUUUCAUUUCUUAUCAUACAUCUAUUUUAAAUCAAAAUAAAAGGGAGUGAAAACUCACCGAAAUCGCCCCGUGACCGCUUCGUCGGAGGGCUUCUCGUUCCGUUCUCUUCGCGCUUUCGAGGAUUGGGAGCGUUUUGGCUUUCGAACACGCCUUGAAACGGGACUCAAUGCCCACCCUCACGCACCGUUGGCCGCCGAAUAUGGCGAUGGUACGAUGGACGGCGAUUUGGGUGUCCCCCUGGCCGGUCGUAGAGAGAAGGGGGAGCGAGUAAAGGGAAUAUCAGUUUUUUUAGAAAGGAGGCUGCAGAUGAAUUUUUUUUUUAAA